ACCAACAAAAUUAAACAUUCAUAAGAAAAAAUUGUCAAAAUUCUAGUAAACUAUCAAAACCCUUUCGAACCUCUUUCAAAAUUAAAAGUGUUUCACAAUGACUUACUAUAAAUUAAGUUAUAUCCCAUAUUGUUUACCUGAUAUGCCGUUGCAGAUCCUAUUUCAACCUCUAACUACUUUACCGGUCGUAUGUCGACCUUGUUGUCCGCCUGCCCCUUGUCCACCUUGUCCACCUCCUCGUAGUUGCUAAUUCUACUUUUACAGUAACAACAAGGAGUACAAGAAGCGUCAACAAUACUAUGUAAUGUAUAUUUUAAGUUGUAAGCCUUAAACUAUCCGUGGUGAAUAUAAAAUUGUACUUUUGUAACUAUUGUA
Diorhabda carinulata is the source of this 375-nucleotide long non-coding RNA. RefSeq lists it as uncharacterized. Lineage: Eukaryota; Metazoa; Arthropoda; Insecta; Coleoptera; Chrysomelidae. The record is from RefSeq and is a predicted model, not a curated record. The transcript is spliced from 2 exons.